GACUUCUGGAAGGGAUGUAUUUAUUAGACUAAAAGCCAAUACGGGUGCUCCUUUUGGUAGCGCACGUUCAUGUGGUGAUUCAUGAUAACUUCUCGAAUCGCAUGGCCUUGCGCCGGCGAUGUUUCAUUCAAAUUUCUGCCCUAUCAACUGUCGAUGGUAAGGUAGUGGCUUACCAUGGUUACAACGGGUGACGGAGAAUUAGGGUUCGAUUCCGGAGAGGGAGCCUGAGAAACGGCUACCACAUCCAUGGAAGGCAGCAGGCGCGCAAAUUACCCAAUCCCGACACGGGGAGGUAGUGACAAGAAAUAACAAUCCGUGUCUAUAUUCUAGACGCGAAAUUGGAAUGAGUACAAUUUAAAUCCUUUAACGAGGAUCAAUUGGAGGGCAAGUCUGGUGCCAGCAGCCGCGGUAAUUCCAGCUCCAAUAGCGUAUAUUAAAGUUGUUGCAGUUAAAAAGCUCGUAGUUGGAUUUCGGGAUGGGCCAGUCGGUCUGCCGCAAGGUAUGUUACUGGCUGGUCUGUUCUUCUUCGCAAAGACUGCGUGUGCUCUUAACUGAGUGUGCGUAGGAUUUGCGACGUUUACUUUGAAAAAAUUAGAGUGUUCAAAGCAGGCUAUCCGCUUGAAUACAUGAGCAUGGAAUAAUGGAAUAGGACUUUGGUUCUAUUUCGUUGGUUUCUGGAACCGAAGUAAUGAUUAAGAGGGACAGUUGGGGGCAUUCGUAUUUCG
This 725-nucleotide ribosomal RNA is filed under the name Rhopilema nomadica. RNAcentral's name for it is "SSU rRNA". It matches the Rfam family "Eukaryotic small subunit ribosomal RNA", at positions 185 to 901 of the family's 1831-position model. The record is from RNAcentral. Lineage: Eukaryota; Metazoa; Cnidaria; Scyphozoa; Rhizostomeae; Rhizostomatidae.